Molecule: ribosomal RNA, 208 nt
Filed under: uncultured bacterium
Lineage: Bacteria
Description: partial 16S ribosomal RNA
Rfam family: Bacterial small subunit ribosomal RNA
Source: RNAcentral
GGGUGUAGGCUGCUUGGCCAGUCAGAUGUGAAAUCCCAGGGCUCAACCCUGGACGUGCAUUUGAUACUACCAAGCUUGAGUGUUGGAGAGGUUCGUGGAAUUCCAGGUGUAGUGGUGAAAUACGUAGAUAUCUGGAGGAACAUCGGUGGGGAAGCCGGCGGACUGGCCAAACACUGACGCUCAGACCCGAAAGCGUGGGGAUCAAACA